AGUCGAACGGAGCACCCCUUGAUUGAGGUUUCGGCCAAAUGAUAGGAAUGCUUAGUGGCGGACUGGUGAGUAACGCGUGAGGAACUUGCCUUUCAGAGGGGGACAACAGUUGGAAACGACUGCUAAUACCGCAUGACGCAUUUUGAUCGCAUGGUCGAAAUGCCAAAGAUUUAUCGCUGAAAGAUGGCCUCGCGUCUGAUUAGCUAGUUGGCGGGGUAACGGCCCACCAAGGCGACGAUCAGUAGCCGGACUGAGAGGUUGACCGGCCACAUUGGGACUGAGAUACGGCCCAGACUCCUACGGGAGGCAGCAGUGGGGAAUAUUGGGCAAUGGGCGCAAGCCUGACCCAGCAACGCCGCGUGAAGGAAGAAGGCUUUCGGGUUGUAAACUUCUUUUAAGUGGGAAGAGUAGAAGACGGUACCACUUGAAUAAGCCACGGCUAACUACGUGCCAGCAGCCGCGGUAAUACGUAGGUGGCAAGCGUUGUCCGGAUUUACUGGGUGUAAAGGGCGUGCAGCCGGGCAUGCAAGUCAGAUGUGAAAUCUCAGGGCUUAACCCUGAAACUGCAUUUGAAACUGUAUGUCUUGAGUGCCGGAGAGGUAAUCGGAAUUCCUUGUGUAGCGGUGAAAUGCGUAGAUAUAAGGAAGAACACCAGUGGCGAAGGCGGAUUACUGGACGGUAACUGACGGUGAGGCGCGAAAGCGUGGGGAGCGAACAGGAUUAGAUACCCUGGUAGUCCACGCUGUAAACGAUGGAUACUAGGUGUGCGGGGACUGACCCCCUGCGUGCCGCAGUUAACACAAUAA
RNAcentral lists this ribosomal RNA (806 nucleotides) under uncultured bacterium. Its description in RNAcentral is "bacterial SSU rRNA". It matches the Rfam family "Bacterial small subunit ribosomal RNA", at positions 60 to 863 of the family's 1533-position model. The record is from RNAcentral.